RNAcentral lists this small RNA (429 nucleotides) under Histoplasma capsulatum var. duboisii H88. Its description in RNAcentral is "Histoplasma capsulatum H88 hypothetical RNA". Lineage: Eukaryota; Fungi; Ascomycota; Eurotiomycetes; Onygenales; Ajellomycetaceae. The record is from RNAcentral.
ACCAAGGAAGGCCUGAUGUGGAAUAGCUACGAGUUUGCGUCUUUACCUGUGAUGCGUUUCCGCCAUCUCUUGGAGAAUGACGUUGCGGAGCAUGGGCAGCAUAAACAACCAAUCGAAUCGACUCAAACAGCCGUUUGACACCAGUGCAACCAAUACUAGGUUUGGGCUGAACGAAAGGGGGAAGGGAAACCAAAAGCCAAAAAAACUCAAAAGAUAAAAAUAAGUUACCAACGAAUGCAUCAAGGCUGAUCAGCAUUGUCGAGCCCAGCAGUCUGACUGGAGGAGUUUCGAAGGGCGUGAGACAUGAUCGUCAGUUUGAUAUGCAGGCGGCACAAUGAAUGCAGAAGAUCAUUCACAGCAUUCAUCCGACCAGCCUUUUUUGCGGAUUACAAGUGCGUCUUUCUGAUUUCAACGGAAUCACAACGGAUG